Molecule: ribosomal RNA, 253 nt
Filed under: uncultured bacterium
Lineage: Bacteria
Description: partial 16S ribosomal RNA
Rfam family: Bacterial small subunit ribosomal RNA
Source: RNAcentral
UACAGAGGUCUCAAGCGUUGUUCGGAUUCAUUGGGCGUAAAGGGUGCGUAGGUGGCGCCAUAAGUCGGGUGUGAAAUCUCGGGGCUUAACUCCGAAACUGCAUUCGAUACUGUGGUGCUUGAGGACUGGAGAGGAGACUGGAAUUCAUGGUGUAGCAGUGAAAUGCGUAGAGAUCAUGAGGAAGACCAGUGGCGAAGGCGGGUCUCUGGACAGUUCCUGACGCUAACACGCGAAAGCUAGGGGAGCGAACGGG